ACGCACGCUGGCGGCGUGCUUAACACCUGCAAGUCGAACGGAAAGGCCCUGCUUUUGUGGGGUGCUCGAGUGGCGAACGGGUGAGUAACACGUGAGUAACCUGCCCUUGACUUUGGGAUAACUUCAGGAAACUGGGGCUAAUACCGGAUAGGAGCUCCUGCUGCAUGGUGGGGGUUGGAAAGUUUCGGCGGUUGGGGAUGGACUCGCGGCUUAUCAGCUUGUUGGUGGGGUAGUGGCUUACCAAGGCUUUGACGGGUAGCCGGCCUGAGAGGGUGACCGGCCACAUUGGGACUGAGGUACGGCCCAGACUCCUACGGGAGGCAGCAGUGGGGAAUAUUGCACAAUGGGCGGAAGCCUGAUGCAGCAACGCCGCGUGCGGGAUGACGGCCUUCGGGUUGUAAACCGCUUUCGCCUGUGACGAAGCGUGAGUGACGGUAAUGGGUAAAGAAGCACCGGCUAACUACGUG
This 467-nucleotide ribosomal RNA is filed under the name uncultured bacterium. RNAcentral's name for it is "partial 16S ribosomal RNA". It matches the Rfam family "Bacterial small subunit ribosomal RNA", at positions 29 to 507 of the family's 1533-position model. The record is from RNAcentral.